Molecule: long non-coding RNA, 236 nt
Organism: Manacus vitellinus (golden-collared manakin)
Lineage: Eukaryota; Metazoa; Chordata; Aves; Passeriformes; Pipridae
Exons: 3
Source: RefSeq, a predicted model, not a curated record
AGUUUACACAGAGGUUGUUUCCAAGAGAAGGAUGUAAUUUAAAGGAUGGAGACAUCAUCUAUACCAUCCCUUAUCUCUUAACAGCCCAUCAUUUGUGUUAUGGUUGGAUCAGCAGCCAGAUCUCUGCAGCUGUGUGGACUGGGCAGACAGUUUGACAACCUGAGGAGGAAAACAAGUCAAAAGCACAGAUAGCUGGGGUCUGAAAUUUUCCACUUUCUUGUAUAACAACAGAGUAA